RNAcentral lists this ribosomal RNA (481 nucleotides) under uncultured bacterium. RNAcentral describes it as "partial 16S ribosomal RNA". It matches the Rfam family "Bacterial small subunit ribosomal RNA", at positions 28 to 507 of the family's 1533-position model. The record is from RNAcentral.
GACGAACGUUGGCGGCGUGCUUAAUACAUGCAAGUCCACUGAAGCAGUGGUAGCAAUAUCGCUGUGUAGGUGGCGCACGGGUGAGUAACACGUAGGUAAUCUGCCUUCAGGUCUGGCAUAACUCCGGGAAACCGGGGCUAAUAGCAGAUGAUGCAGCGGCUCGACAUCGAGACAGUUGUUAAAGCUAUGGCGCCUGAAGAUGAGUCUGCGUCUGAUUAGCUAGUUGGCGGGGUAACGGCCCACCAAGGCAACGAUCAGUGGCUGGUCUGAGAGGAUGAUCGAGCACACUGGAACUGAGACACGGACCAGACUCCGACGCGAGGCAGCAGGAAGGAAUAAUGCGCAAAGGGAGAAAUCCUGAAGCAGCAACGCCGCGUGAGGGACGAAGGGCGUUAGCUUGUAAACCUCUGUAGUGAGAGAAAAAAAUCCCAAUCUUUGGGACAUGAUGGUAACUCAAAAGUAAGCCCCGGCUAACUACGUG